Bacillus rossius redtenbacheri is the source of this 870-nucleotide long non-coding RNA. RefSeq lists it as uncharacterized. The transcript is spliced from 3 exons. The record is from RefSeq and is a predicted model, not a curated record. Lineage: Eukaryota; Metazoa; Arthropoda; Insecta; Phasmatodea; Bacillidae.
UAAUGCUAGUUAUAGAUUUCAAAUAGCUAUUACAGAUUCUUAAUGUGGUUAGUGUCUAAAAAAUAUGGACAUUUUUAGCAGGGGUAAAAAAUUGGUAGAGCUUUGUAUAUUACAAAACCCAGCUAACAAUAGUGAUUGUGAAGCAGGAGAGAGUUUGAGGCAAGUUCAGAGUAUUGAGGUAAGUGCAGACUUUAAUAACAAAAAUAAUAAUCUAGUUAUUUGGUCGAUGUAAGUAAUUAUCAUGAUAUAAAUGUGUUAUUUUAUUUUAGGAUGCUUCCAAGGAUAAUAAAACAUGUGAUGUUUGGCCUGGAAAUAAAAUGUUGUUGGAUAAUCCUGUUAGCAAUCCAACAACUGAAAGCAACAUUGAUAUAAUACUCCAAGAAGAAGAGGGAAAUAGAAGAGAUAAUAAUGUACAGGUGUGUGCAACAUAUAUUAUAUUUAAUAUUGAUAUAAGUUAUUGGUUGGAAAUAAAGAUUUUUAAAUUCAAUUAUAUGUUAUUAUUUCAGGACCCUGAAUGUACUGGACUUCCAGUAGUAACUCUCUGGCAAAAUGACUUUGAUUCAGUACUGUUGCCAGUACCAGGAGUUGAAAUAGAGUUCAUUACUGCUAACUUCACAAACACAUCCCUGGCUGGAAACCUAACUACAGAGAUAAAUGGGACUGGCUUUGAAAUACACGAUACUGAUCCCAUCGAGAGUGUACAACUUUUGCCUGCUGAUGAAACUAGUUUAGAAGUAACCAGAAAAAAUGCAAACAUUGUAGCAUCUACAAGCCAUGAUAUUCUUCAGGGAGAAGAAAAUAUUAGUGAGGAGGAAAUGUUAGUUCACCAAAAUGCUGAUACCGAUUCAGACUUCGCACCUAAACCACCCG